UACAGAGGUCUCAAGCGUUGUUCGGAUUUAUUGGGCGUAAAGGGCGCGUAGGCGGCGCGGCAAGUCGGGUGUGAAAUCUUGGAGCUUAACUUCGAAACUGCAUUCGAUACUGCCGUGCUUGAGGACUGGAGAGGAGACUGGAAUUUACGGUGUAGCGGUGAAAUGCGUAGAUAUCGUAAGGAAGACCAGUGGCGAAGGCGGGUCUCUGGACAGUUCCUGACGCUGAGGCACGAAGGCCAGGGGAGCAAACAGG
RNAcentral lists this ribosomal RNA (253 nucleotides) under uncultured bacterium. Its description in RNAcentral is "partial 16S ribosomal RNA". It matches the Rfam family "Bacterial small subunit ribosomal RNA", at positions 524 to 776 of the family's 1533-position model. The record is from RNAcentral.